RNAcentral lists this ribosomal RNA (1405 nucleotides) under synthetic construct. RNAcentral describes it as "bacterial SSU rRNA". It matches the Rfam family "Bacterial small subunit ribosomal RNA". The record is from RNAcentral. RNAcentral also lists the same sequence under 2 other names.
UCAUGGCUCAGGACGAACGCUGGCGGCGUGCCUAAUACAUGCAAGUCGAACGAGAGCGACCGGUGCUUGCACUGGUUAAUCUAGUGGCGAACGGGUGAGUAACACGUGGGUAACCUGCCCAUUAGAGGGGGAUAACAUCCGGAAACGGAUGCUAAAACCGCAUAGGUCUUCGAGCCGCAUGGCUUGAAGAGGAAAAGAGGCGCAAGCUUCUGCUGAUGGAUGGACCCGCGGUGCAUUAGCUUGUUGGUGGGGUGAUGGCCUGCCAAGGCUUUGACGGGUAGCCGGCCUGAGAGGGUGGGCGGUCACACUGGGACUGAGACACGGCCCAGACUCCUACGGGAGGCAGCAGUGGGGAAUAUUGCACAAUGGGCGCAAGCCUGAUGCAGCGACGCCGCGUGAGGGAUGGAGGCCUUCGGGUUGUGAACCUCUUUCGCCAGUGAAGAAGGUCCUGCUCUUUGUGGUGGGAUUGACGGUAGCUGGGUUAAUGAAGCGCCGGCUAACUACGUGCCAGCAGCCGCGGUAAUACGUAGGGCGCGAGCGUUGUCCGGAAUUAUUGGGCGUAAAGGGCUUGUAGGCGGCUGGUCGCGUCUGCCAUGAAAUCCUCUGGCUCAGCUGGGGGCGUGCGGUGGGUACGGGCUGGCUUGAGUGCGGUAGGGGAGACUGGAACUCCUGGUGUAGCGGUGGAAUGCGCAGAUAUCAGGAGGAACACCGGUGGCGAAGGCGGGUCUCUGGGCCGUUACUGACGCUGAGGAGCGAAAGCGUGGGGAGCGAACAGGAUUAGAUACCCUGGUAGUCCACGCUGUAAACGUUGGGCACUAGGUGUGGGGGGCCUUUUCCGGGUUUUCCGCGCCGUAGCUAACGCAUUAAGUGCCCCGCCUGGGGAGUACGGCCGCAAGGCUAAAACUCAAAGGAAUUGACGGGGGCCCGCACAAGCGGCGGAGCAUGCGGAUUAAUUCGAUGCAACGCGAAGAACCUUACCAAGGCUUGACAUGGGCUGGAUUGCUUCGGAGACGGGGUUUCCCUUUUUUGGGCUGGUUCACAGGUGGUGCAUGGUUGUCGUCAGCUCGUGUCGUGAGAUGUUGGGUUAAGUCCCGCAACGAGCGCAACCCUUGUCUCGUGUUGCCAGCACGUUGUGGUGGGGACUCGCGGGAGACUGCCGGGGUUAACUCGGAGGAAGGUGGGGAUGACGUCAAAUCAUCAUGCCCCUUAUGUCUUGGGCUUCACGCAUGCUACAAUGGCCGGUACAGUGGGUUGCGAUGCUGUGAGGCGGAGCGAAUCCCUGAAAGCCGGUCUCAGUUCGGAUCGGUGUCUGCAACUCGACACCGUGAAGUUGGAGUCGCUAGUAAUCGCAGAUCAGCAGCGCUGCGGUGAAUACGUUCUCGGGCCUUGUACACACCGCCCGUCA